RNAcentral lists this ribosomal RNA (370 nucleotides) under uncultured organism. RNAcentral describes it as "bacterial SSU rRNA". It matches the Rfam family "Bacterial small subunit ribosomal RNA", at positions 528 to 896 of the family's 1533-position model. The record is from RNAcentral.
GAGGUCCCAAGCGUUGUUCGGAUUCACUUGGGCUAAAGGGUGCGUAGGCGGUCGGGUAAGUCUGAUGUGAAAUCUCCGAGCCUAACUCGGAAACUGCAUCGGAUACUAUUCGGCUAGAGGAUUGGAGGGGAGACUGGAAUUCUCGGUGUAGCAGUGAAAUGCGUAGAUAUCGAGAGGAACACCAGUGGCGAAGGCGAGUCUCUGGACAAUUCCUGACGCUGAGGCACGAAAGCUAGGGGAGCAAACAGGAUUAGAUACCCUGGUAGUCCUAGCCCUAAACGGUGCACGUUUGCUGUAAGAGGAUUCGACCCCUUUUGUGGCGAAGCUAACGCGUUAAACGUGCCGCCUGGGAAGUACGGCCGCAAGGUUA